CAAAAGGCAAAGAAAGACUCCAGUAGAAGGGAGCCUGAGCUGAUCAGAGAGCCGGUGGGUGGUGCAAACCGGCAGCCUCUCCCUUUGAAUUACCGUCUUGAGCCGUCCGGAGGAACGCGCGUCACCAGGAGCGUAAGUAGUCUGGCACCGGACCUGGCAGUCCGUUAUCGUAAUGAAGUGAAAGCAGUAUGUGGAAGGGAAUCGUCCCGUAACGGCUGCUUUAAUUAGGGUGGUAACGCGAGCAGGCUCCUUCUCGUCCCUUGG
RNAcentral lists this non-coding RNA (264 nucleotides) under Paenibacillus rhizosphaerae. RNAcentral describes it as "T-box sequence". It matches the Rfam family "T-box leader". From Rfam's summary of the family: Uncharged tRNA acts as the effector for transcription antitermination of genes in the T-box leader family. T-boxes are found upstream of many aminoacyl-tRNA synthetase genes and some amino acid biosynthetic genes usually in Gram-positive bacteria. The anticodon of a specific tRNA base pairs to a specifier sequence within the T-box motif, and the NCCA acceptor tail of the tRNA base pairs to a conserved bulge in the T-box antiterminator hairpin. Lineage: Bacteria; Bacillati; Bacillota; Bacilli; Caryophanales; Paenibacillaceae. The record is from RNAcentral.